Non-coding RNA from Aegilops tauschii subsp. strangulata, 2692 nucleotides. NCBI's taxonomy places the organism in Eukaryota, Viridiplantae, Streptophyta, Magnoliopsida, Poales, Poaceae. The record is from RefSeq and is a predicted model, not a curated record.
CGUCGCGCAAAUGGGCCGGCCCAUUUACUUCGUCCCUGUGCGUUGCCUCUUCUCCUUCCCGAGCCCCGACGACGCCUUCGGCCUUCCCACUCGCCGCCGGCGCCUCCACCGGGGUUGGCGCCGCCGGCCACUCCUAUGCUCCCUCCAGUUUCGGAGACUCUGCUCAUCCCCUCACUGGAGUCGGCGCCUCCCUGGAAAAGUAGCUCCGCCAUGUGUUCGCCGCCUCCCCGAAACCCUAUCCCAGCCGCGCCCGAGCUCUGGUGGCCGUGACGGCGUCGCAUGCGCCCGCGGCGGCUCUCUCGUCGCCGCCGCCGUCGCCGGGACCUAGGGUUCGGGCAUCCGUCCUUGGCGCCCCGCGUCUCGAGGUCCCCGUCCUUCGGCAGGACGCCGGAGCUGCCCGCCGUCGUCUCUGUCGUUCAAGCAGAUGCAUUAGAAGCCAUUAAUUCUAGAUUCGGAAAACCAUCCAAGUCAUGAAGGAGUAUUUGGCAGCUUCUGAAGCUUAUUUCGCAAGAUUACUUUGUUGAAAAGUUUCCUCCCAUAUCCACUGAUUUUUAAUAAGAGGAGGUUAUAGGUCUUGAAAUAUUGAUACAAUCAGUUGGAAUUUGACUCUACAUGUACCGGCUAGAAUGGAGUAGGAUUAGUAAAUGAAGCAACUGCUCUCCUGUUUUGACCAAGGUAAAGAUCACUACUUCUUUGCCGUCAUGAUGAAAUGAGCUGGCAUGAUGGGUGGACUAGGCGACCUCAUGCUGAGAGCUCACUCGGGCUGAUUCUGAAAAUGAAAAAAGAUGACCUGAUGUAAUAGGCCUAGUUUCUUUUCUUCCUCAUCUGGUAGUUGCAAAAAGGGAUGUUUAAAAAGUUUGCUCAGGCCCUGUGUGGCUGAUCCUAUUUGCUAUAGUUUUUCUUCUGAUCCUGCUACUCUGGCUAGAUCCGAGAGCUUUGAAAUGUUGGCCUGGGUGCUUUGCCCCGGUUUUAAUAAAAAUGGGGUGGGGGGAAACCCCUUUUCAUAAAAAAAAUGCAAUGAAUAUUUCCAGGUUGCUUAUCCAUGUGUUGUGCAUAUACAAUCGAACUAGUAAGCAAAAAGGAUAAUGUUGGUUCUCUGAUUAUGAUAAUUUGGACAUGACUAAGGCUCUUACAGAGAUCUGGUUACGACUAUCCUAAAAAGUAUAUUUCUGUUAGUCGAAGAUUCUUAAAAAAAAUGCUGAGUUGAUAUAUGAUGCUGUUUUAGUUGAUACCUGUGCAAAUAUGGAAGCUAUAUAUGACGCUGUCUUGCUUGAUAGCUGUGCAAAUAUCCAUGUCAUUUUAUCAGUACAUGUUGAUACAGGCCUUGAGAGAUAAUUUUCACAAGGACAUCCUUCAUAUUCAACCGUCAUGAAUGAAGUGGUUAUCUUGGAUGCCAUUCAGUGAUGUAAUUUUGUGAUCUAGCGUUAUCCUUCAUGUAACAGGGUAACCAUCAUCUACGUUGUUGAUCAUUAAUCAAGAAGCAUUCAUUUGCAGAAGAAAAACUACCUGAUAUGCUUGAUCUAUGGUGGAGCGCAGAUGAUCUAGAGCACCUAUAUGAAGCAUAUAGAAGAUGUGAAAAAUAUCGGAAGAGGAAUCCCAAGUAUAGUUUUCAGCUUCUGGUUUCCUCUGAAUCCUAGAGAGAUAAAAUAUGUUUCCUGUUUUCUUUACCUGAUCACAUUUUAGAAUCUCAGCUAGGUAAUCUGAUUGGAAUUUCAGCAACUACAUGAUCAAUUUGUGUUGCAGUUAUCCUAUUUCCAGUUGUCUUAUGUUUUAAAGUGGGUGUCAUGCGUGGAGCUGCAUGGGUAUUUUUCCUGUAAUAUUAUUAUUAUGGUUUUUGGUACCCUGCCCUAACUACACUGAAAUCCAUGUUGGUUGAUGCAGCUGAAGAGGUGAUCCUUUCAAUCUCCUCAGCUUCCAUGCCCCGACCACACUGCAGUCCAUAAUGGAUGAGGAAGGAGGAGGUGCAUCGACAAUAGUUUGAAUCAGAUCGGGCAGCCACCAUAGUUGGUGAUGCUGUGGAGUGGAGGAACUAUGGCAUAUGGCACUACAGUUGACUUCCCCUACACUGUUGGAAACUGCAGUGGACUGAUGGCACCGUGGUUCACCUUCCAUAUAUGGCUGGAAUUUGUUGCCCAACACUUAUUACCAGGCAAGUAACUCACUAUUCUUUCCGUGCUCCAUUCUCCAGUCCAAAUUCAAUUAAAGCAAAUAAAUCGGAUUAAUCUUUAAUGCCUUAUCAAGAAAAAUGUGCAUUGUAGCUGUCCAUCACCAGGACUGGUCAUGAGUCUCAUGACCAGACUCUGCAUCAUACAGACCAGAGACGAACCAGCAGGGGUGGUCUGCAUCAUCUCUAGCGGCAGCAUGCAAUCCUUGAUCUAGGUGUUCGCUACAUGAACAAAUCAAAAACCGGCAAGUCGGUUCACCUUUUGGCUUAUAUAUUUAAUCAUUCCGCCUUCCAGCAUCAAGCAAAGUUAUUAGGCUAGGCGUCGAACAUUGAAUUGAUUGUCUCUUUAUGAGUUUCUAGCUCUUUGAAUUUCUAUUCAUGUUCCCACACGAGUAUAUAGUUAUUCCUGAUACAUAUGGGUUAAUCACUGUGCUUAAGGACAAGCGCGAAACCAAGUGUAUUUUUUAGAGGAGUAUUUAUGAGAUUGAAUUGCUGCAUGAUUUCUCUGUAUAAAUUUAUAUGCUCCUA